GGGGAUAUAGCUCAGUUGGUAGAGUUCUAGCUUCACAUGCAUGUGGCCCUGGGUUCAAUCCCCAGCUCCACCA
Molecule: transfer RNA, 73 nt
Filed under: Urocitellus parryii (Arctic ground squirrel)
Lineage: Eukaryota; Metazoa; Chordata; Mammalia; Rodentia; Sciuridae
Also listed under: 1 other name
Description: Spermophilus parryii (Arctic ground squirrel) tRNA
Rfam family: tRNA
About the family: Transfer RNA (tRNA) molecules are approximately 80 nucleotides in length. Their secondary structure includes four short double-helical elements and three loops (D, anti-codon, and T loops). Further hydrogen bonds mediate the characteristic L-shaped molecular structure. tRNAs have two regions of fundamental functional importance: the anti-codon, which is responsible for specific mRNA codon recognition, and the 3' end, to which the tRNAs corresponding amino acid is attached (by aminoacyl-tRNA synthetases). tRNAs cope with the degeneracy of the genetic code in two manners: having more than one tRNA (with a specific anti-codon) for a particular amino acid; and 'wobble' base-pairing, i.e. permitting non-standard base-pairing at the 3rd anti-codon position.
Source: Rfam by way of RNAcentral